UCCGGCUUAUCACCUGUAUACCGACCACAAGGGGGGCCGUAUCUCUGCAGGCUUCUGGCGUAUGUCAAACCCAGGUAAGGUUCUUCGCGUUGCAUCGAAUUAAUCCGCAUGCUCCGCCGCUUGUGCGGGCCCCCGUCAAUUCCUUUGAGUUUUAGCCUUGCGGCCGUACUCCCCAGGCGGGGCGCUUAAUGCGUUAGCUACGGCACGGAACCCGUGGAAAGGAUCCCACACCUAGCGCCCAACGUUUACGGUGUGGACUAC
This 261-nucleotide unclassified non-coding RNA is filed under the name uncultured Nocardioidaceae bacterium. Its description in RNAcentral is "contains 16S-23S intergenic spacer region". The record is from RNAcentral. Lineage: Bacteria; Bacillati; Actinomycetota; Actinomycetes; Propionibacteriales; Nocardioidaceae.